This 492-nucleotide ribosomal RNA is filed under the name uncultured bacterium. RNAcentral describes it as "partial 16S ribosomal RNA". It matches the Rfam family "Bacterial small subunit ribosomal RNA", at positions 29 to 507 of the family's 1533-position model. The record is from RNAcentral.
AGUGAACGCUGGCGGUAGGCCUAACACAUGCAAGUCGAACGGCAGCACAGUAAGAGCUUGCUCUUACGGGUGUCGAGUGGCGGACGGUGGAGGAAUACACCGGAAUCUACUUUUUCGUGGGGGCUAACGUAGGGAAACUUACUCUAAUACCACAUACAUCCUACGUGUGAAAGCAGGCGAUCUUUGGACUUUUCGCUAUGGAAUAAGCCUAUGUCGGAUUAGCUAGUUGGCGGGGUAAAGGCGCACCAAGGCUACGAUGCGAAGCUGGUAUGAAAGGAUGAUCCGAUAGCUUGUAACUGAGAAACAGUCCCGACACUGGGAGGAGGACGCAGUGGGGAAUACUGCACGAGGCAGGAGAGCCGGAUCCAGCACUAUCGCGUGAGUGAAGAAGGACUUAGGCUUGUAGAGUCCUUUUGUUCGGAAAGAAAAACAGCACGUUAACACCCCGCUGUUAUGACAGUACCCAAAGAAUAAGCACCGGCUAACUUCGUG